AAUGCACCUUGCUAACAGAUAAGAUUAUGCCAUAAUUUUACAGUUGAAAUGUUCAGGAUGUUAAACCAUUUUUGCAAAAUAUGGUUUUAAGCGAAGUUGGGGAAACAAAAUUUAGUACUUAAAAAAAAAGAGUAAAAUCUUCCUGAAACUUAUUUUUGUAAGAAGGCAAGAAUCCUAACGUUUUUUUUUUUUAUUGGCAACACAUCCAGAUGGUACUUAAGUCAAUUUCCUGGAUGGUCUGCAAAUUUAAAAAGUUUGCAAUGCACUAAAAUGCCACGGCUUCUCCAGAUUAGGAAGGAGACUUGAGAGAAUUUGGUAAAUUUAGGAAUAUGAAUGUGAGACUAGAAAACUCACUCCUGACUCCUAGCAGAUGUGUGCCACUGGACUGAACCAAACUCAAGCACAUUUCUCAGCACAGUCAAGCCGUCUUUGCUCAGGGUGUAGAAGGUGUACAACAGUGCUCCACAUGAGUCCCUACCUGUGGAAAUCUGCAAACUGAACACAACUGCUCUCACUCUUCAUAACCCGGCAAACAGCUCAUGCUCCCGGAGCCGGAGGAGGAGCCAGAGGAAGCCUACAGGAAUCCAGCCCAUGAAGAGCCCCACACGUUUCAGCUGGAUGUCGAGACCCAGGUGACCUUGGAGCCCAUGUGUUGAGGAUGCCAGUGCCUUUGUCAACCUGAGUCCCUGAAUGACGCCAUGGAGCCAAACACCCCCUUCACCACUCCCACUGUCACCAACCAGGUACACCCACAUCGAACUUUCUGUGAGUAAAAAGUAAAUGUCUAUUGUGUGAAGUCACUGAGAUUUGCGGAUGCCUCUAUUAAAGGAGCUAGUGUCACCUUAAUUAAUAUUGUAGACAAUGUGUUGAAUGAAUUAACGUGACUUGAAAAAAAUUGUAUUGUGUUGACACUACCAUUUGAGGAGAAAUUUUACUAGAGGGGAGAAAUUUAUGGUUAAGGGUUAGUGCUCUUUUUCUAUAAAUCCCCAUCAGCCACUUUCCUGUCUGCUCCGUUAUCACUGGUGCUUAACCACUGUAGAACUCCAAGAUUCUGGGUUUCCCCUAAAUCUUCACCAGCUCCAGGGCAGCUGCUAUCAACUCAACUAAUAUAAUUGCAAACUACUUAAAAACACAAAUCCAAGAAAGGGAUAGAUGACAUCCCCUCAAAUUGGCAGAGGCCUCCUUGUCCUGAUGAGCUUUACUGCAUUCAUGUCAGUUGUAUACCAAUCACCUGGAAAUUUCAGUUACAGAAAACAUUCGAUUCACCAACCCUGAUAAUUAAGUGCGGGGUUACUAUCAAAGGGAGUCACUGGUUGGCUUAAAUUAAAUAUCAAACAAUAAGCAAAUUUUAAAAUGCCUUGCCCUAAAUGUGGAGACACCAUUGCUUAAUAAUUAUAUAAUGACUGGAGAAAAUGAUGUAAAAUAAGAAAAGGGAAACACAGGUUCUGAUAACGUUUAUUCGGGGAAGAGGCAGAGUGCUUCUGGAUGAAGAGGUAGUCUAGGGAUGGAGUUGGCCAAAAUACAGAAAUUCGAGUCAUUUCAGUAGUUUACGGCAGUGUUUCUCACUAAAAAUGUGCAUUUAUGCACACUAGGAACUGGAAACUACUAAUCUACCACAAUGAAAAACAAGACUGUUUCAACUGGAGCAAUCUUGACUCCAAGACUCAUCGUAUCCUUCAGCCGUCUACAGGGCUCCCUCCUUCCUUCAGGUUCCUCAUCAAACGUCGCCUUCUCUGAGAGGCACGCCAUCCUCGAUCACCCCAGAUGAUAUAAAUAGUGCACAGGUGUGCCCCCCACCCCUGCACCACCACAGUCAUUCUCUAUCCCUUAUACCGUUUUGUUUUUCUUUAUUUUACUUAUAGAAACUUGAUUCUUCAGCACCUGGCACAUAAUAGAUGCUGGAUAGAUCUCUGCUGAAAGAAUAAAUGAAUGAAGGUUUAAAAUGAUGAUAAUCCCUGGAAGGCGUGAUCUCCUUUCUUCUCUCAAGAUUACUGUGUCUACAAAAUACAACACUGGCCAUCUCUGGGAAGUGAUGGAUUAUGGGCUUUUUUUUUUUUUACAUUUCUUUUUUUCCUUAAAUUUUCUACAGUAAACAUGUACUACUUAAAUAACAGAGAAAGUAUGAUUUUUCAAAGAAAACAUAUUUUUAAAUAUUAGGUAUAUACUCUGUCCAUAUGUCUGAAUUGAUCUUCAUACUUACCGUAAUAGACUAAAAGUUCUCCCAUCAAAUUAUCAUAGUCCCUAAAUAAACAUAAAA
Equus caballus (horse) is the source of this 2257-nucleotide non-coding RNA. NCBI's taxonomy places the organism in Eukaryota, Metazoa, Chordata, Mammalia, Perissodactyla, Equidae. The record is from RefSeq and is a predicted model, not a curated record.